This 427-nucleotide ribosomal RNA is filed under the name uncultured bacterium. RNAcentral's name for it is "partial 16S ribosomal RNA". It matches the Rfam family "Bacterial small subunit ribosomal RNA", at positions 355 to 774 of the family's 1533-position model. The record is from RNAcentral.
UGGGGAAUAUUGGACAAUGGGCGAAAGCCUGAUCCAGCCAUGCCGCGUGUGUGAAGAAGGUCUUCGGAUUGUAAAGCACUUUAAGUUGGGAGGAAGGGCAUUAACCUAAUACGUUAGUGUUUUGACGUUACCGACAGAAUAAGCACCGGCUAACUCUGUGCCAGCAGCCGCGGUAAUACAGAGGGUGCAAGCGUUAAUCGGAAUUACUGGGCGUAAAGCGCGCGUAGGUGGUUUGUUAAGUUUGAUGUGAAAUCCCCGGGCUCAACCUGGGAACUGCAUUCAAAACUGACUGACUAGAGUAUGGUAGAGGGUGGUGGAAUUUCCUGUGUAGCGGUGAAAUGCGUAGAUAUAGGAAGGAACACCAGUGGCGAAGGCGACCACCUAGACUAAUACUGACACUGAGGUGCGAAAGCGUGGGGAGCAAACA